UCUCCCCCCCCCAAAAAAAUGCCUUUUAACUUAAUCCUUUAAACAAGGGAUCUAAAAAUGACCUUCACAGGAAUCUUCACUAGACUGCAGGAGUCCUUGAGAUGAAAGAAAAGUCAGCGGUACAUUUAUUUGUAGUCAACAGACUGCUCGCUUUACUUUUCAGCCUGAACAUAGCAGACAACAAAGUGUUCAGCCAUCUUUCUGUCAAGCUCUGCCUGAACGGUAAUGGGGACAUGAAACCAUUACUGCCAUAUCGAUCCUGCAACUAGCGGUGUGCAUUGUCCUCUGUGUAAUAAGACUGACAGAAAACAGAAAUAAAAGACACUGAAGGCACAGGCAGAGACACUGGGAAUUAAUUUCCGGGAAUACAAAUGCUAAAUAAUUUUGCCUGACCUUGUUACUGGAAAACUACCGGUCUGCUUCUAUGCAUCCCGCUCGGUUUUCUCACCACAAGCCAUUCUGCAAAGAAAACAAGCAAGUGGGCCCUGGUUACAAGCAGCGAAUUAAUACAAGCGGCCCCGAAGAGAAAAAUAAAUCUGCAGUGUUGAUCUUUAAAGGGGAGGCUUCAGACAUGCCAGAGGAACUACUGGAUGGUAUAUACGUUGGAACUGUUACAACACUGAAGUGUCUGAAGGGGCCAAUUCUGUUGCAGCACAAGAGCGAAUCUGUGCUCCCGGAGGCAGUGGUUCCAGACACCCUACAGAUGUUUGAGAAGACGGGUUGGGGGGGUUUGGGCAGUCUGUUGUGUUCUGUAAAGCCGUCCAUCAGAUGAAGGGAGACCUCUGACCCUGUGAGCGUCCAUCCGCUGGGAUACAGGAAGGCAUCGACGAGCCAUAUGCCAUCUCCCAGGAUACACCCAGAAGGCGCAGCAAUAAUCAAAACUACAUUAGGACACUGAUAGAAUUUUUUGCAUGGGAUGAGGACAGUACAGAGUGUGUUAAGUGUUGCAAUAGGGGAUUAUAUCAGAAUGAGAAACACCAGACAUCUUCAAAACUGAAAAAUACUACCUCAAUUGUUAAUUAAAAUGAGGUGAUCUUUGUUCAGCUGAGCCACAGACUGAUCAGUGCUGUGGUGGAAGUGUGUGUGUACACAUGCAGGGUUUGCUUUCAAAGCACCGCAGUGUAGCUGUCCUCAUUAUAUUCCUCGAUAGUAAACGGGCUUAGAUUACAUCUGUUGUUUUACAACAUUUUCCUGCCCAGGUUUAGUCCAUUUUGAACUGAUUUCUCAUUUUAUUUUUCUGCAAAUACACCCUAGGUGGUGUUUUUGAACAAUCUUAUCACAGGGAGAGCUAGUCACAGAACUCCACCAUUCUUGUGUCUUCAAAGACGAACAGUUGUUUGCAGUGGCAGUUUUACAUGGGUUAUAUAUUGAACAUGUAGCAUAAUUUAGAGGCUUACAUUACCACAACAAAUACACUUGUUUAAUUUCAUAUUCUGCUUCCUAACACUCGUAAAUUUGUAUUGGGUAAUCCUUGAUAAAACAGCAAGGUGCUGUCGUGCCUUUUAACAUCUUUUGUGCUUUUGGCUGAUUAUGUUCAAUAAUAGGCUACGGCACAAGUUUCUUUUUUUUUAAAGGCUCUUUGUCAGAGCAUCUGGAAGGGUUGGUCAACUUACAUCAAUACAAAUUUCACUGAACAUAUGGAAAACUAAAUUUAUCCCUCAAGUACAGGAAAAUAGUCAUACCAGCUGUGUGUGUGUGCUAUCAAGCGUGGUUUCGGCAUCUUCUAAGAUUUUAAAAUAGUGUUAAUACAGACAAUUAUGUUACACAUCACUCCCAUAAAUGUCUCUUCAAUCUCAGGUGUAUUUAUCAGAUAUGGGUCUCAUGCUGUUUGAGAUAUCUUGGGCCUGUCAGUAUCUCUUUUUAAGUAGCAGAACAAGCUCGCCAAGUGCUUCUUCACGCCAGUACUUCACUGCCACUCAUUCUCAAAACCGUACAGCUCGCAGUGCGGCGCGUGAGCGCGGUACAAGAAUCAACGGCGGAGACGGGCUUUUUUUCCCCAGAGUGGCGCUUGGCAUCCGGGCUUCCAGAGAGUAUGUAGGUCAAGCUGCAGCGCAUAUUGCUGCUAUACAGUACGUGUGAGUGGAGCAGUCGUCCCUCCGCGCGCUGGAAUCCCUCUUCACAGCCGUAAUCGGUGGGACAGGCUGUGGA
This 2148-nucleotide long non-coding RNA is filed under the name Lepisosteus oculatus (spotted gar). RNAcentral's name for it is "lncRNA (ENSLOCG00000022970.1)". Lineage: Eukaryota; Metazoa; Chordata; Actinopteri; Semionotiformes; Lepisosteidae. The record is from RNAcentral.